AUACGUAGGUGGCAAGCGUUGUCCGGAAUUAUUGGGCGUAAAGCGCAUGUAGGCGGUAAUUUAAGUCUGUCGUGAAACUGCGGGGCUCAGCCCCGUAUGGCGAUGGAAACUGGGUUACUUGAGUGCAGGAGAGGAAAGGGGAACUCCCAGUGUAGCGGUGAAAUGCGUAGAUAUUGGGAAGAACACCGGUGGCGAAGGCGCCUCUCUGGACUGUGUCUGACGCUGAGAUGCGAAAGCCAGGGUAGCGAACGGGAUUAGAUACCCCGGUAGUCCUGGCCGUAAACGAUGGGUACUAGGUGUGGGAGGUAUCGACCCCUUCCGUGCCGGAGUUAACGCAAUAAGUACCCCGCCUGGGGAGUACGGCCGCAAGACUGAAACUCAAAGGAAUUGACGGGG
This 396-nucleotide ribosomal RNA is filed under the name uncultured bacterium. Its description in RNAcentral is "partial 16S ribosomal RNA". It matches the Rfam family "Bacterial small subunit ribosomal RNA", at positions 523 to 918 of the family's 1533-position model. The record is from RNAcentral.